RNAcentral lists this long non-coding RNA (359 nucleotides) under Medicago truncatula (barrel medic). RNAcentral's name for it is "long non-coding RNA (MTRU_LNC002988)". Lineage: Eukaryota; Viridiplantae; Streptophyta; Magnoliopsida; Fabales; Fabaceae. The record is from RNAcentral.
UUUCUUCCUUUACCCUUUCUUCUUCACCGGCCAGUCCCACCACAUUACCAGCACACCCAUCCACCACCACCACUCUCCUUCCCGCUCACAACACUCCACCACCGUUGCUUCAGUCACCAUCUCCGAACUCAUCAACACCGUCGCCGCCGUCAUUUCAGAUCUAACAACCUCACAACACUACCACUCUCCUUCCCGCUCACAACACUCCACCAUCGUCGCUUCAGUCACCAUCUCCGAACUCAUCAACACCGUCGCCACCGUCAUUUCAGAUCUAACAACCUCACAACACUACCACUCUCCUUCCCGCUCACAACACUCCACCAUCGUCGCUUCAGUCACCAUCUCCGAACUCAUCACCA